Dreissena polymorpha is the source of this 91-nucleotide small nucleolar RNA. RefSeq annotates it as small nucleolar SNORD12/SNORD106. The transcript has a single exon. NCBI's taxonomy places the organism in Eukaryota, Metazoa, Mollusca, Bivalvia, Myida, Dreissenidae. The record is from RefSeq and is a predicted model, not a curated record.
UUGUCUGUAAAUGAUGACAAUCUUUCCCCGGCUUAUCGACAAAUGAGGAUACAACUGUGUUUAUUCAAGCCAGUUUGUCUGAUACAGACAA